Molecule: ribosomal RNA, 240 nt
Filed under: uncultured bacterium
Lineage: Bacteria
Description: partial 16S ribosomal RNA
Rfam family: Bacterial small subunit ribosomal RNA
Source: RNAcentral
UGAGCGAUCUGCCCUUAACUCUGGGAUAAGCCUGGGAAACCGGGUCUAAUACCGGAUAUGACUCCUCAUCGCAUGGGUGGGGGGUGGAAAGCUUUAUUGUGGUUUGGAUGGACUCGCGGCCUAUCAGCUUGUUGGUGAGGUAAUGGCUCACCAAGGCGACGGACGGGUAGCCGGCCUGAGGAGGGGUGACCGGCCACACGUGGGACUGAGACACGGCCCAGACUCCGUACGGGGAGGCAG